Molecule: long non-coding RNA, 2070 nt
Organism: Armigeres subalbatus
Lineage: Eukaryota; Metazoa; Arthropoda; Insecta; Diptera; Culicidae
Exons: 5
Source: RefSeq, a predicted model, not a curated record
GGCCCUUAACUGACAGUCCACUUUGUUUAUGAAUCACACAAACAAGUUUGGAAGUUGGAAGUGUUUCGGGAGAACUUGGUUGUGGCCAAGCAGUGGAGCAGCGGCCAUGUGAAACUAUGGCCAUGAUGGCAAAAACGUUAUCGUUCCUUUUGCUCCCUACCAAGAAUGGACUUACUUGAUGGGCUACAGCUCUUCGAUGAACCUACGCCGAAUGGAGUAUCCUUCUCCACUGGGCUCAAUCAUGGGCCAAUCGCUUCCAGUCGCACUGAACAUUGAGCACCCUCAGAUCCUCUUCAACUGCAAAAAGCCAUCGUGUGCGAGGCCUUCCACGAAGCCUGCGGCCUCUUCCGGGUUCUCUACUAAAUAUUAUCUUCGCUUGACGUUCUUCCGGCAUACGAACAACGUGACCAAGAAUGGACUACGGACUACAAAAAUUACGCCGAGCCAUCAGAUUACGGAAGCCGUGCCGCAAAACGGACUGUUCAAGUCAAGGCUCUCCCAUACCUAAGCGAUUUGGUCACCACGAUGGCGACAACUAGCCGCCGCGAUUCUAUCGCUGGGUCGCUGUUCCAUUUACACUUCGAUACCAACGGCGGCGGCAGAAAAGCAGUCGUCAACCAAACUUUGGCUAUUGUGCUGUGCUAUGGACUGUCGUUGGCCUGUUCCAUCAUGUAGCUAUAUUCAACUGGAGACUCCAAGGGACAUCCGCCCAUUCGAACGGACUAUAUUUGCUACGGACCCUCUUGUCCCGAAUAAUCGGUAUUUGCCCAAGUUCUUCCAGAGCAUUCGGUGAGAAGCUGACAAUGAAAAAUUGACGAUGGUGGAUGUUCAGCUUCGUUUUCAACAAAGAUGAUUCAAGCAAUGGAACUAUACUUGUGUGCGUAAAUGGAAUCCAUCCCACAAUCUACAAAUUAGUACGCAGACUUCAAAACGACCAUUUUUGUGCAGAAAAUCUUUAAUAUUUUAUAGUAAAAUGUCUUCACUGUCAUAAGACGAUUUUGUACAAAUCCUUUUAAUUCCACCACUUUGUAAUCUUUAUAGAAACGUAUUUCGACUUUAACUGUAAAGCCGUCUUCAGUGUCUCGUACUUGACUCGUUAUUUUUGUGCAUCAAUUUAAUUAAAUUUCAACUAAAUAUUAACCCGUUUUUUUUUUAUUUUCAAAAUUAUUUUAUUUCUUUAUAAUUUAGAUUAUAACAAUUAUAGACGAAUCCAAGUAAAAAUAAGAAGAAGACACACGGCGGUGUUAACUUUGACAGAUCCUACAGCACAGCAUAGGGAGAUCAUUUUAAAAUGCUUAUAAUAAAUUCUAGACAAAAUGUAAUUAAAAUCUGAUUGAUGUAUGAUACGGAAAAAGUUCCGAACUGUAUGAUAGAUACAUUUUCGGAAAAUAUUCAAAAAAUUGAGAUAAGCUUCCAGAUAUGUAAUUUAGAACUUUUUCCGUACCGUACAUCAAUCAGAUUUUAAUUACAUUUUGUCUAGAAUUUAUUAUAAGCAUUUUAAAAUGAUCUCCCUAUGCUGUGCUGUAGGAUCUGUCAAAGUUAACACCGUCGUGUGUCUUCUUCUUAUUUUUACUUGGAUUCGUCUAUAAAUAAACUGAUACGUGGUAUCUCAAUACUAAAAAUCAUCAUAUUACAUGAAACGAAAAAAAACCUAAAGUUUUUCUCUAUUGUUAACAUACAAAAUUUCAUUUAUUGUAGUAGGUGUUGAAAUUUAAUAAUUAAUUUAGUAUAUAAAAUUAUCACUUAAUAAAUAAAAUGUGUUCACUUGGAAUAAGAUGAGUUAGUACUAUUCCAUUCAAUGCCACAACUUUGUUACUCUGCAGAUACUUAUUCCGACCUUAAUGUUAAUGUUGGAAUACAUAUCUGCAAAGGAAUAAAGUAGUGAAAUUGAAUGGUAUAGUAUUAACUAGUAUUAUAGAAUGUAAUUAUAAAUGCUAACGUAUUUUUAUUGUAAUACAAUAAAUAAACGAAACGAAAAACAUAAGAAAUACAAUAGUUUUUAUUGUAACGGCCGUAAAACUCAUCCCAUAGAAAAACAUUAAAAACUAUUGUUUUGGUCUGAAUUUUGUA